GACGUUCGUGGUGGGAUUGAACA
Molecule: non-coding RNA, 23 nt
Filed under: Arabidopsis thaliana (thale cress)
Lineage: Eukaryota; Viridiplantae; Streptophyta; Magnoliopsida; Brassicales; Brassicaceae
Source: RNAcentral